RNAcentral lists this ribosomal RNA (33 nucleotides) under Vespula pensylvanica (western yellowjacket). RNAcentral describes it as "partial 5.8S ribosomal RNA". The record is from RNAcentral. Lineage: Eukaryota; Metazoa; Arthropoda; Insecta; Hymenoptera; Vespidae.
AUUCCCGGACCACGCCUGGCUGAGGGUCGUUUA